RNAcentral lists this long non-coding RNA (298 nucleotides) under Homo sapiens (human). RNAcentral describes it as "non-protein coding lnc-GPR179-1:1". Lineage: Eukaryota; Metazoa; Chordata; Mammalia; Primates; Hominidae. The record is from RNAcentral.
GCCCUUUGGAUGUGGAGGAAAACUUGACUGCUGGGAAGGCAGAAAUCUGUCCCUGGGAGGUGGGUGCUGGAGCAGGGGAGGAAAGGGCUUUGGGAGCUGAGGCCAUUAGGAAAUCUCCAAAUGAUACAGGCAAGGGAGCUCUUCCUUCCAGACAUCCUUGUGUGCCUCUUGCUAGUUUUUUAGGGGGUCUCCCCCUCUUCCUGCCCUAGCUCUCACCAGUCUCCAGAGCUCGUCUCACUGGCUCAUUUCCUUCCCCCUAGCUUUUCAGCGCUGCCAUCAACAGGACCUCUCUCUUUUG